GAUGAACGCUGGCGGCGUGCUUAACACAUGCAAGUCGAACGGAAAGGCCCAAGCUUGCUUGGGUACUCGAGUGGCGAACGGGUGAGUAACACGUGGGUGAUCUGCCCUGCACUUCGGGAUAAGCCUGGGAAACUGGGUCUAAUACCGGAUAGGACCACCUUUUGGAUGGUGUGGUGGAAAGUUUUUCGGUGUGGGAUGAGCUCGCGGCCUAUCAGCUUGUUGGUGGGGUAAUGGCCUACCAAGGCGUCGACGGGUAGCCGGCCUGAGAGGGUGUACGGCCACAUUGGGACUGAGAUACGGCCCAGACUCCUACGGGGGGGAGCAGUGGGGAAUAAUGCAAAAUGGGCGCAAGCCUGAUGCAGCGACGCCGCGUGGGGGAUGACGGGCUUCGGGUUGGAAACUCCUUUCGCUAGGGACGAAGCGUUAUGUGACGGUACCUGGAGAAGAAGCACCGGCUAACUACGUG
This 466-nucleotide ribosomal RNA is filed under the name uncultured bacterium. RNAcentral's name for it is "partial 16S ribosomal RNA". It matches the Rfam family "Bacterial small subunit ribosomal RNA", at positions 28 to 507 of the family's 1533-position model. The record is from RNAcentral.